GAUGAACGCUGGCGGCGUGCCUAAUACAUGCAAGUCGAGCGAACAGAUGAGGAGCUUGCUCCUCUGACGUUAGCGGCGGACGGGUGAGUAACACGUGGAUAACCUACCUAUAAGACUGGGAUAACUUCGGGAAACCGGAGCUAAUACCGGAUAAUAUAUUGAACCGCAUGGUUCAAUAGUGAAAGACGGUUUUGCUGUCACUUAUAGAGGGAUCCGGGCCGCAUUAGCUAGUUGGUAAGUAAACGGCUUACCAAGGCAACGUAGCGUAGCCGACCUGAGAGGGUGACCGCCAAAACGGGAACGGGAACACGGUCAAGACCCCUACGGGAGGCGGCAGAAGGGAACCUUGCGCAAGGGGGGAAAGCCUAACGGAGAAAGGCGGCGUGAGUGAUGAAGGUCUUCGGAUCGUAAAACUCUGUUAUUAGGGAGGACCAAAUGUGUAAGUAACUGUGCACGUCUUGACGGUACCUAAUCAGAAAGCCACGGCUAACUACGUG
Molecule: ribosomal RNA, 497 nt
Filed under: uncultured bacterium
Lineage: Bacteria
Description: partial 16S ribosomal RNA
Rfam family: Bacterial small subunit ribosomal RNA
Source: RNAcentral